Molecule: ribosomal RNA, 519 nt
Filed under: uncultured Bacteroidota bacterium
Lineage: Bacteria; Pseudomonadati; Bacteroidota
Description: bacterial SSU rRNA
Rfam family: Bacterial small subunit ribosomal RNA
Source: RNAcentral
CAACCUGCCUGUUACCACGGCACAGCCCGUCGAAAGGCGGAUUAAUGCCGUAUGUGGUCUUGAAAGGGCAUCUGAUCAUGACUAAAGGUUCAGCGGUAACGGAUGGGGAUGCGUCCGAUUAGCUAGACGGCGGGGUAACGGCCCACCGUGGCUACGAUCGGUAGGGGUUCUGAGAGGAAGGUCCCCCACACUGGAACUGAGACACGGUCCAGACUCCUACGGGAGGCAGCAGUGAGGAAUAUUGGUCAAUGGGCGUAAGCCUGAACCAGCCAAGUAGCGUGAGGGAAGACUGCCCUAUGGGUUGUAAACCUCUUUUGUGCGGGGAUAAAGUGAGGGACGUGUCCCUUAUUGCAGGUACCGCACGAAUAAGGACCGGCUAAUUCCGUGCCAGCAGCCGCGGUAAUACGGAAGGUCCGGGCGUUAUCCGGAUUUAUUGGGUUUAAAGGGAGCGCAGGCCGUCCUUUAAGCGUGCUGUGAAAUGCCGCGGCUCAACCGUGGCACUGCAGCGCGAACUGGAGG